UACGUAGGGGGCGAGCGUUGUCCGGAUUUAUUGGGCGUAAAGAGCGUGUAGGCGGUUCGGUAAGUCUGUCGUGAAAUCCUGAGGCUCAACCUUGGACGUGCGAUGGAUACUGCCGGGCUAGAGGAUGGUAGAGGCGAGUGGAAUUCCCGGUGUAGCGGUGAAAUGCGCAGAUAUCGGGAGGAACACCAGUAGCGAAGGCGGCUCUCUGGGACGGUACUGACGCUGAGACGCGAAAGCGUGGGGAGCGAACAGG
This 253-nucleotide ribosomal RNA is filed under the name uncultured bacterium. RNAcentral's name for it is "partial 16S ribosomal RNA". It matches the Rfam family "Bacterial small subunit ribosomal RNA", at positions 524 to 776 of the family's 1533-position model. The record is from RNAcentral.